CAGUCGCCGCGGGAAAACGAAGGGGGCUAGCGUUGUUCGGAUUUACUGGGCGUAAAGGGCGCGUAGGCGGGCGAAUCAGUCAGGGGUGAAAUCCCAAGGCUCAACCUUGGAACUGCCUUUGAUACUGUUUGUCUUGAGUUCGAGAGAGGUAAGUGGAACUGCGAGUGUAGAGGUGAAAUUCGUAGAUAUUCGCAAGAACACCAGUGGCGAAGGCGGCUUACUGGCUCGAAACUGACGCUGAGGCGCGAAAGCGUGGGGAGCAAACAGGAUUAGAGACCCCCGUAGUCCCUGUCUCUUAUAC
Molecule: ribosomal RNA, 301 nt
Filed under: uncultured bacterium
Lineage: Bacteria
Description: partial 16S ribosomal RNA
Rfam family: Bacterial small subunit ribosomal RNA
Source: RNAcentral